UGAAAUCCCUUAUUUUCCACCCGGAUAAACAGUAACCCGAACUGAUAGUGGGUUACUUCAUCCCGGUUUUGAUCCACUUCCAGGACUCCAAAUUUGAUGAAAUUUUUACCUAACAUUCUACACUCAUAGAGGAUUCCAAAGAGAUAACAUGCAUCAUCAUCGGAGGCCGUUUGACCCCCUAAAUAAUUCGCCGAAGUUGGGACUUCGACACAGUUUUUCCGUAGUGCCGGAAAAAUUUGUUAAAAUCCGAUUCUUCCUCUUUUAACCACCUCUACAACCCUUAUCCGACCCCUCUAGACUAUAUCCACCCUUUGUAUAGCCUAAUGUCAUCAAAAGACUAGAUAGGGACGGAUAUUUACCUUUUUCUUUUUGGAAAUCGAGGUCCUUGCGUAGAGAAGAAGGAGAUCUACACUUUUUCCGUUAGCUGGAAGUGCAACCGG
Molecule: long non-coding RNA, 440 nt
Filed under: Phoenix dactylifera (date palm)
Lineage: Eukaryota; Viridiplantae; Streptophyta; Magnoliopsida; Arecales; Arecaceae
Description: long non-coding RNA (PDAC_LNC008781)
Source: RNAcentral